Molecule: ribosomal RNA, 434 nt
Filed under: uncultured Lachnospiraceae bacterium
Lineage: Bacteria; Bacillati; Bacillota; Clostridia; Lachnospirales; Lachnospiraceae
Description: partial 16S ribosomal RNA
Rfam family: Bacterial small subunit ribosomal RNA
Source: RNAcentral
ACGGAAGGCAGCAGUGGGGAAUAUUGCACAAUGGGGGAAACCCUGAUGCAGCGACGCCGCGUGAGUGAAGAAGUUAUUCGUAAUGUAAAGCUCUAUCAGCAGGGAAGAAAAUGACGGUACCUGACUAAGAAGCCCCGGCUAACUACGUGCCAGCAGCCGCGGUAAUACGUAGGGGGCAAGCGUUAUCCGGAUUUACUGGGUGUAAAGGGAGCGUAGACGGUCUAGCAAGUCUGAUGUGAAAGGCAGGGGCUCAACUCCUGGACUGCAUUGGAAACUGUUAGUCUUGAGUGUCGGAGAGGUAAGCGGAAUUCCUAGUGUAGCGGUGAAAUGCGUAGAUAUUAGGAGGAACACCAGUGGCGAAGGCGGCUUACUGGACGAUAACUGACGUUGAGGCUCGAAAGCGUGGGGAGCGAACAGGAUUAGAUACCCUGGUA